UACGUAGGUGGCAAGCGUUGUCCGGAUUUACUGGGUGUAAAGGGCGUGUAGGCGGGAAGACAGGUCAGAUGUGAAAUGUCGGGGCUCAACCCCGGAACUGCAUUUGAAACCGUUUUUCUUGAGUAUCGGAGAGGCAGGCGGAAUUCCUAGUGUAGCGGUGAAAUGCGUAGAUAUUAGGAGGAACACCAGUGGCGAAGGCGGCCUGCUGGACGACAACUGACGCUGAGGCGCGAAAGCGUGGGGAGCAAACAGG
RNAcentral lists this ribosomal RNA (253 nucleotides) under Sporobacter termitidis. RNAcentral describes it as "partial 16S ribosomal RNA". It matches the Rfam family "Bacterial small subunit ribosomal RNA", at positions 524 to 776 of the family's 1533-position model. RNAcentral also lists the same sequence under 1 other name. The record is from RNAcentral. Lineage: Bacteria; Bacillati; Bacillota; Clostridia; Eubacteriales; Oscillospiraceae.